This 1016-nucleotide unclassified non-coding RNA is filed under the name Hevea brasiliensis (rubber tree). The record is from RNAcentral. Lineage: Eukaryota; Viridiplantae; Streptophyta; Magnoliopsida; Malpighiales; Euphorbiaceae.
AUUUUCCCUGCCAAGCUAAGGAUGCAAACAAAUGGUAAAUCUCAUUAUUGUGACAUUCUGGCACUGUGAUUAUUCACUGAUAACAAAAUAAACACAGAAAAUCUUCACCCGAUAAAGCAUUACAGAUCUCCAUAUCUACUUAGCUCUAAACAAUGAGAAGGCUAGGGCACCACAGGCAGCAUGGGAAGCAAGGAGUGGGAGGAGUGAAGGGAAUGCUGGCUAAACUAUCAAUUGCUGUAGUUGUUCUCUUGAUCUGCACGCUCUCCUUGCUGUUUUCGACUACGAUUACUGGAAGUAGCGGAUCGAGUGGUCCGUCUGAGAUCAAUGUUGAAGAACUUUGGGAAAGUGCUAAUUCAGGUGGCUGGAGGCCAUCAUCUGCUCCAAGAUCUGACUGGCCACCUCCUCCAAAAGAGAGCAAUGGUUAUCUGCGUGUUCGUUGUAAUGGUGGUUUGAAUCAGCAACGAAGUGCGGUUUGUAAUCCAUUCUUAGAAACCUCAAUAAAUCAGUGCUAUAUUUCCCCACAUGCUCCUCUUACAGCUUUCUAUUGCAAAAUUCUAUUGGGUGCAAUCAUGGAAAACACUUACCUGUGUGGCUGUUCAGCUGUACCACUGUGUGAGAUUGUUUGUCAGGGAUAAUUAGAUGCCAAAUAAAUUCAUUCAUUCUGAUAAAUGAGUCUUGCUGUGUUAUUAUAACCAUGCUAGAUUUUAAGAUGAGCUCAAUGUGUUCAAGAUCUGUAUUAGGAUGGUGAUGUCUGUUCAAUGCGUUUACUUGAAAUUAAUUGGCAUAUACUACCUUGGAUAUUACAGAUUUGUAAUGCAGUUCUUGCUGCUAGAAUCAUGAAUGCUACCCUUGUGCUGCCUGAGUUGGAUGCUAACUCCUUCUGGCAUGAUGAAAGUGGCUUCCAUGGCAUUUAUGAUGUUGAGUAUUUUAUCCAGUCACUGAGAUUUGAUGUACGUAUUGUGGAAAGGAUACCAGAAAUUCAUAAAAAUGGGAAAACCAAGAAGAUAAAGGCUUUU